Molecule: long non-coding RNA, 619 nt
Organism: Oncorhynchus tshawytscha (Chinook salmon)
Lineage: Eukaryota; Metazoa; Chordata; Actinopteri; Salmoniformes; Salmonidae
Source: Ensembl
UAGCACGGCAAAGGGGUCGUUGUAGCACGGCAAAGGGGUCCUUCUAGCACGGCAAAGGGGUCGUUGUAGCACGGUAAAGGGGUCGUUAUAGCACGGUAAAGGGGUCGUUAUAGCACGGUAAAGGGGUCGUUAUAGCACGGUAAAGGUUUUGUUAUAGCACGGUAAAGGGUUUGUUAUAGCACGGUAAAAGGAUUGUUAUAGCACGGUAAAGUGGUCCUUAUAGCACGGUAAAGGGUCUAUUAUAGCCUGGUAAAGUGGUUCUUAUAGCACGUUAAAGGGGUCGUUAUAUCACGGUAAAGAGGUCGUAAUAGCACGGUAAAGGGUUUGUUAUAGCACGGUAAAGGUUUUGUUAUAGCACGGUAAAGGGGUCGUUAUAGCACGGUAAAGGGUUUGUUAUAGCACGGUAAAUGUUUUGUUAUAGCCUGGUAAAGUGGUCCUUAUAGCAUGGUAAAGGGGUUGUUAUAGCCUGGUAAAGUGGUCCUUAUAGCAUGGUAAAAGGGUCAUUAUAGCCUGGUAAAGGGGUUGUUAUAGCAUGGUAAAGUGGUCCUUAUAGCACGGUAAAGGGGUCGUUAUAGCCUGGUAAAGUGGUCCUUAUAGCACGGUAAAGGGGUCAUUAUAG